RNAcentral lists this ribosomal RNA (543 nucleotides) under Oenococcus oeni. RNAcentral's name for it is "bacterial SSU rRNA". It matches the Rfam family "Bacterial small subunit ribosomal RNA", at positions 1 to 509 of the family's 1533-position model. Lineage: Bacteria; Bacillati; Bacillota; Bacilli; Lactobacillales; Lactobacillaceae. The record is from RNAcentral.
UUUAAAUUGAGAGUUUGAUCCUGGCUCAGGAUGAACGCUGGUGGCGUGCCUAAUACAUGCAAGUCGUACGCUAGCCGCUGAAUUGAUCCUUCGGGUGAAGUGAGGCAAUGACUAGAGUGGCGAACUGGUGAGUAACACGUAAGAAACCUGCCCUUUAGUGGGGGAUAACAUUUGGAAACAGAUGCUAAUACCGCGUAACAACAAAUCACACAUGUGAUCUGUUUGAAAGGUCCUUUUGGAUCGCUAGAGGAUGGUCUUGCGGCGUAUUAGCUUGUUGGUAGGGUAGAAGCCUACCAAGGCAAUGAUGCGUAGCCGAGUUGAGAGACUGGCCGGCCACAUUGGGACUGAGACACUGCCCAAACUCCUACGGGAGGCUGCAGUAGGGAAUUUUCCGCAAUGCACGAAAGUGUGACGGAGCGACGCCGCGUGUGUGAUGAAGGCUUUCGGGUCGUAAAGCACUGUUGUAAGGGAAGAAUAACUGAAUUCAGAGAAAGUUUUCAGCUUGACGGUACCUUACCAGAAAGGGAUGGCUAAAUACGUGCC